GACGAACGCUAGCGGCAGGCCUAAUACAUGCAAGUCGAACGGUAAGGAUCCCUUCGGGGAUUACACGAGUGGCGCACGGGUGCGUAACGCGUAUGCAACCUACCCUCCAGAGGGGGAUAUCCAGUGGAAACGCUGAUGAAUACCCCAUAUAAUCCUAAAGUCGAAUGGUUUAAGGAUGAAAGUUCUGGCGUUGGGGGAUGGGCAUGCGUCCCAUUAGCUAGUUGGUGAGGUAAUUGCUCACCAAGGCAACGAUGGGUAGCUGGUCUGAGAGGAUGAUCAGCCACACGGGCACUGAGACACGGGCCCG
RNAcentral lists this ribosomal RNA (307 nucleotides) under uncultured bacterium. RNAcentral's name for it is "bacterial SSU rRNA". It matches the Rfam family "Bacterial small subunit ribosomal RNA", at positions 28 to 334 of the family's 1533-position model. The record is from RNAcentral.